AUUUACCAGAACAUAUUUUGAUGUGCUUAAAUGUGCUAAUAGCCUGAUGAAAUUCGUGUUGACUAUGCGUUUUACAUUUUGCCAUUUUUAUUUAAAAAAUGAAAAACAAAUGAAUUGUCAGUGUAAAUAAAUACUGUAUUGUUGUUCAAUCAGUUAAACUAUUUCACUGUUUUCAUGCAUAUGUUCAAAUCAUUUUCAUUUUUGUUCAAUCUUUAAGAUGCAACGCUUGUGUAAUUUACUUUAUGAAACUUAUAUAUACACAAAAAUGUAGUACAGAUGUAUAUCAAAUGACUGCUGUGGGCUUGUGGUAAACAGAAAACCAUGCUUUAAAUUGAAAAACCUUGUUAUAUGCCAUGUUUUUCAUUUAAUAAUAUUAAAAGCACUCUUGAAAUGGAACUUCUUGAAAAUAUGUUUCAUUGUUUUGUAAAAAUAUCUUAAGUUAUCUAUUCUAAAUUAUCUAUUCUUAUAUAAGAAAUACAAAUUAAAAUUGGUUAUUGGAAAUAAGUCAAUUAAAAGUCAAGGGAUAAUGAUGUAAUGUACUUAAAAAUGUCAAAACUGCUAUUGUCUCUAUUUGUAUUCUAGAUAUGUUAUAUCCUUAAACAAACAAAUACAAUGUUGUCUCCUUGUUGAAUAGGUGUUGUGUACCUCUGAACAUGUCAAGUCAUUUACUUUAAGUAUUUUAAACUAGUUCUCACUAUCUACACCCAUAAGUCACUCAUGACUUUUGUGUAAUAAACAUUGGAUAAAUAUAUUUUUAUAUAAUCAAUUAUAAGAUAAGGUAAAAAGUGUAUGUGCGUUAUAAGAAAUAAACAUUGGAUAAAUAUAUUUUUAUAUAAUCGAUUAUAAGAUAAGGUAAAAAGUGUAUGAGCGUUAUUAGUAAUAAACAUUGGAUAAAUAUAUUUUUAUAUAAUCGAUUACAAGAUAAGGUGAAUAGUGUAUGUGCGUUAUUAAAUUCAUCAGGUAUGACCAUACUGUGCUACAAGUUUUGUAAUUGUGACUAUUAAAAGUACAUGAUCUGCAAAAAAUGUCACUUAAACAAAUGUGUAUAUGUUUAUCAUUAUUAAAUUCUUUCCAACUA
This is a long non-coding RNA of Dreissena polymorpha, 1078 nucleotides long. RefSeq lists it as uncharacterized. Lineage: Eukaryota; Metazoa; Mollusca; Bivalvia; Myida; Dreissenidae. The record is from RefSeq and is a predicted model, not a curated record. The transcript has 2 exons.